GGAGGAUUAGCUCAGCUGGGAGAGCACUUGCCUUACAAGCAANNUCGACGCAUCUGGCAUCUUUGA
This 66-nucleotide transfer RNA is filed under the name Geobacillus sp. PK12. RNAcentral describes it as "tRNA-Val". Lineage: Bacteria; Bacillati; Bacillota; Bacilli; Caryophanales; Anoxybacillaceae. The record is from RNAcentral.